RNAcentral lists this unclassified non-coding RNA (390 nucleotides) under soil metagenome. RNAcentral describes it as "partial contains 5.8S ribosomal RNA, internal transcribed spacer 2, and large subunit ribosomal RNA". The stretch from base 1 to 122 matches the Rfam family "5.8S ribosomal RNA", at positions 35 to 154 of the family's 154-position model. The record is from RNAcentral.
GAUGAAGAACGUAGUGAAAUGCGAUACUUGGUGUGAAUUGCAGAAUCCCGUGAACCAUCGAGUCUUUGAACGCAAGUUGCGCCCGAAGCCACUAGGCCGAGGGCACGCCUGCCUGGGCGUCACACGCCGUUGCCCCCCCAUCUACUCCUUCGGGAUUGCGGGGGGCGGAUGAUGGCCUCCCGUGCGCCUAGCCGCGCGGUUGGCAUAAAUACCAAGUCCUCGGCGACGCACGCCACGACAAUCGGUGGUUGCGAAACCUCGGUUGCCCGUCGUGUGCGUUCGUCGCGCAUCGAGGGCUCGAAAAAAUGCUCGGCUCCGGCUGGGCUUUCAACGCGACCCCAGGUCAGGCGGGGUUACCCGCUGAAUUUAAGCAUAUCAAUAAGCGGAGGA